RNAcentral lists this long non-coding RNA (211 nucleotides) under Elaeis guineensis (African oil palm). RNAcentral describes it as "long non-coding RNA (EGUI_LNC020633)". The record is from RNAcentral. Lineage: Eukaryota; Viridiplantae; Streptophyta; Magnoliopsida; Arecales; Arecaceae.
CUGUGUGAAUUUUUUCAAGAGAUAUUGAUCUAUGAUACAUCAUACAAGACUUAGAAAGUGAAGUUCUAGGUUCAUAUCUAAUUUUAUUGUUUAUUUAAGUUAAUAUGAUUGAAAUCUUUCUAUUCUCAAAGAAUCACAAAUUCUGACAUAAUUAUUUUUAUAUCAGUGUCAACCUCUACUUGAUGUUGAAGGUUUCAUAUAUUUCUGUGGG